This 65-nucleotide transfer RNA is filed under the name Branchinotogluma japonicus. RNAcentral's name for it is "tRNA-His". Lineage: Eukaryota; Metazoa; Annelida; Polychaeta; Phyllodocida; Polynoidae. The record is from RNAcentral.
GUUUGUAUAGUUUAACAAAAACAUUGAUUUGUGGUAUCGAAAAUAUAUUACUUAUAUUGCAAACC